CCCUUAGAUGUUCUGGGCUGCACGCGCGCUACACUGACACACGCAACGAGUCUCCUGCCCUGACAGGGUCGGGUAGUCAUUUGAGUGUGUGUCGUGAUGGGGAUAGAGUAUUGCAAUUAUUGCUCUUGAACGAGGAAUUCCUAGUAAGCACAAGUCAGCAGCUUGUGCUGAUUACGUCCCUGCCCUUUGUACACACCGCCCGUCGCUCCUACCGAGGGGGUGAUCCGGUGAAUGAUUCGGACUCUGGUGCUUCUAGCUGCUAGAUGCGCCGGAGGAAGUUUUGUGAACCUUAUCACUUGGAGGAAGGAGAAGUCGUAACA
This 320-nucleotide ribosomal RNA is filed under the name uncultured eukaryote. RNAcentral describes it as "partial 18S ribosomal RNA". It matches the Rfam family "Eukaryotic small subunit ribosomal RNA", at positions 1470 to 1796 of the family's 1831-position model. The record is from RNAcentral.